This 127-nucleotide small RNA is filed under the name Yersinia sp. 2105 StPb PI. RNAcentral describes it as "RtT sRNA". It matches the Rfam family "RtT RNA". Rfam says of the family: This family represents a bacterial cis-regulatory element known as RtT RNA. The exact function of RtT is unknown although it is thought that it may be involved in changing the cellular response in relation to amino acid starvation. Lineage: Bacteria; Pseudomonadati; Pseudomonadota; Gammaproteobacteria; Enterobacterales; Yersiniaceae. RNAcentral also lists the same sequence under 1 other name. The record is from RNAcentral.
GUGACUCAAUGCCGGGGAAGGUAAGAACCUUCGACAAGGUUCGCACCGAGCGUAGCGAGAUAAUGACGCGAAGCGGCGGCCCGCAGGGUGAGGAACGAAGUGACGAGUAAUCCUUACCCCACCACCA